This 468-nucleotide ribosomal RNA is filed under the name uncultured bacterium. Its description in RNAcentral is "partial 16S ribosomal RNA". It matches the Rfam family "Bacterial small subunit ribosomal RNA", at positions 28 to 507 of the family's 1533-position model. The record is from RNAcentral.
GACGAACGCUGGCGGCGUGCUUAACACAUGCAAGUCGAACGGAAAGGCCCUGCUUUUGUGGGGUGCUCGAGUGGCGAACGGGUGAGUAACACGUGAGUAACCUGCCCUUGACUUUGGGAUAACUUCAGGAAACUGGGGCUAAUACCGGAUAGGAGCUCCUGCUGCAUGUUGGGGGUUGGAAAGUUUCGGCGGUUGGGGAUGGACUCGCGGCUUAUCAGCUUGUUGGUGGGGUAGUGGUUUACCAAGGCUUUGACGGGUAGCCGGCCUGAGAGGGUGACCGGCCACAUUGGGACUGAGAUACGGCCCAGACUCCUACGGGAGGCAGCAGUGGGGAAUAUUGCACAAUGGGCGGAAGCCUGAUGCAGCAACGCCGCGUGCGGGAUGACGGCCUUCGGGUUGUAAACCGCUUUCGCCUGUGACGAAGCGUGAGUGACGGUAAUGGGUAAAGAAGCACCGGCUAACUACGUG